UUUGAACUGCGAAUGGCUCAUUAUAUCAGUUAUAGUUUAUUUGAUGAAGAAUACUAAUUGGAUAACCGUAGUAAUUCUAGAGCUAAUACAUGUAUAAAGUCUUGUAGACUGCAUUUAUUAGAAUGAAAACCAUAGGUUUCGGCCUAUUCGUGAGUAAUAAUAACUAAUCAUAUCGUAUGCUUAUGUAACGAUGUGUCUUUCAAGUUUCUGCCCUAUCAGCUUUCGAUGGUAGUGUAUUGGACUACCAUGGCAGUAACGGG
This 260-nucleotide ribosomal RNA is filed under the name Blastocystis sp. RNAcentral describes it as "partial small subunit ribosomal RNA". It matches the Rfam family "Eukaryotic small subunit ribosomal RNA", at positions 81 to 359 of the family's 1831-position model. Lineage: Eukaryota; Bigyra; Opalinata; Blastocystidae. The record is from RNAcentral.